UGGCUCAUUACAACAGCCGUCGUUUCUUGGAUCUCUUAUUUUACUUGGAUAACUGUGGUAAUUCUAGAGYUAAUACACGCACUAAAGCUCCGACCUUACGGGACGAGCGCAUUUAUUAGAACAAAACCAAUCGGGUUUCGGCCCGUUCGUUGGUGACUCUGAAUAACUAUGCCGAUCGCACGGUCUCGCACCGGCGACGCAUCUUUCAAGUGUCUGCCUUAUCAACUUUCGAUGGUAGUUUAUGUGCCUACCAUGGUUGUAACGGGUAACGGAGAAUAAGGGUUCGACUCCGGAGAGGGAGCCUGAGAAACGGCUACCACAUCCAAGGAAGGCAGCAGGCGCGCAAAUUACCCACUCUCGGCACGAGGAGGUAGUGACGAAAAAUAACGAGACGGAUCUCUUUGAGGCCCGUUAUCGGAAUGAGAACAAUUCAAAUCCUUUAACGAGGAUCUAGCGGAGGGCAAGUCUGGUGCCAGCAGCCGCGGUAAUUCCAGCUCCGCAGGUGUAUAUCUAUGCUGCUGCGGUUAAAAAGCUCGUAGUUGGAUCUGCGUGCUCGGAACUGGUUGGCUCACUGAGUUCAAACUGGUCUCCGGCGCUUUAUCAGCUGGUUUUCCCUUGAUGCUCUUAACCGGGUGUCUUGGGUGGCUAGCAAGUUUACUUUGAAAAAAUUAGAGUGCUCAAUACAGGCGCAAAGCCUUGAAUAGUGGUGCAUGGAAUAAUGGAAUAGGACCUCGGUUCUAUUUUGUUGGUUUUCGGAACGCGAGGUAAUGAUUAAGAGGGACAGACGGGGGCAUUCGUAUUGCGACGUUAGAGGUGAAAUUCUUGGAUCGUCGCAAGACGGACGACUGCGAAAGCAUUUGCCAA
This 864-nucleotide ribosomal RNA is filed under the name Sabatieria sp. 2 FH-2016. RNAcentral describes it as "SSU rRNA". It matches the Rfam family "Eukaryotic small subunit ribosomal RNA", at positions 94 to 972 of the family's 1831-position model. The record is from RNAcentral. Lineage: Eukaryota; Metazoa; Nematoda; Chromadorea; Araeolaimida; Comesomatidae.